RNAcentral lists this ribosomal RNA (432 nucleotides) under uncultured bacterium. Its description in RNAcentral is "bacterial SSU rRNA". It matches the Rfam family "Bacterial small subunit ribosomal RNA", at positions 462 to 896 of the family's 1533-position model. The record is from RNAcentral.
CUAGAGUUUGACUGUACCAUUUUGAAUAAGUGACGACUAACUAUGUGCCAGCAGUCGCGGUAAUACAUAGGUCGCAAGCGUUAUCCGGAUUUAUUGGGCGUAAAGCAAGCGCAGGCGGAUUGAAAAGUCUGGUGUUAAAGGCAGCUGCUUAACAGUUGUAUGCAUUGGAAACUAUUAAUCUAGAGUGUGGUAGGGAGUUUUGGAAUUUCAUGUGGAGCGGUGAAAUGCGUAGAUAUAUGAAGGAACACCAGUGGCGAAGGCGAAAACUUAGGCCAUUACUGACGCUUAGGCUUGAAAGUGUGGGGAGCAAAUAGGAUUAGAUACCCUAGUAGUCCACACCGUAAACGAUAGAUACUAGCUGUCGGGGCGAUCCCCUCGGUAGUGAAGUUAACACACUAAGUAUCUCGCCUGGGUAGUACAUUCGCAAGAAUG